Non-coding RNA from Coturnix japonica (Japanese quail), 991 nucleotides. Lineage: Eukaryota; Metazoa; Chordata; Aves; Galliformes; Phasianidae. The record is from RefSeq and is a predicted model, not a curated record.
CAGCGCUUUUUGCGCACCCAAUCUGCAGGUGCAGCAAAGACCUUGGCAAGGGGCAAACCGAUUAUCACUUACAAAAACAGUUACAUCGUAUUGUUCAUAUUUCUUCAAGGUCUUGAGCAAGGCAUAAAUUCUCAGGAAAACGAAGCUGUUGCAGUUCCAGCAUCAGACAGCUAACCAGCCUUUAAAUCCAAGUCUUAAAUAUUGCGCAGCAGUUCCAACUUCAUUAUAUGAAGACAGCGUACUUUUACUGACUUGCAAUUUAGCUUUUGAUUCCUGCUACAAAAAUUACUACAUUUCUUCUUUCCAAGAGCUCCGUUUUCUCGUCUCACCACUUCUUGAUUUGGCUCGUUGUUCCUUUUUCCUAUGCAUAUACUUCUUUGAGAGUUUGAUCUAAAGAGGCAUAGAGCAUGGGAAAAUGGGGCGACUGAGGUACUCCGCCAUUCAUUCCAAACAGUGCUGCCGAGAUGACUAUCGAAACGUGGAGAAAAUGGGCAUACACAGAAAUGAAAGUAAGGGGAACAGAGUCACAGACUGCAGAAGUGCAACACCAAGCCUCUCGGUUGCUGGGACUCAGUCUUCACGGACUGCACUGCAAGUCAAGGCACAGAGGCUCAGCCAUGCAUCUGUUAUCCAGGUUGGGUAUCUAUAGUGCAAUAGUUAUUCUUAGGACCCAAUCCUAGAUUCUAAGUACCUCUUACAUUAUGCCAGCUUGUAAAUUCUUCCUUGUUAAAACAGACUCUUGGUAAAUAGUAAAUUAACUAAUGAGCAUACUAAUUUUUUUCUUCUCUCUUUUUUUUUUUUCUUUUUCCCCCACAGGCAUCUUUGAAGAGGAACUGGAGAUUUUCAUCUUCCUGUUAACAUCUUACUACAUUUCUGUUCAAUUUAUUUUAUUUAGUCUAAAAAGAGAUGUAUCACAUCAGUUCUGUGAAAAAUACUAUGGAACCAUGUAACUAAGUAUACUGUAUGCCAAAUAAAAACCUUAUGUUUCACA